Molecule: ribosomal RNA, 1524 nt
Filed under: Triticum aestivum (bread wheat)
Lineage: Eukaryota; Viridiplantae; Streptophyta; Magnoliopsida; Poales; Poaceae
Description: partial small subunit ribosomal RNA
Source: RNAcentral
AUGAAGUCCACCGCGGCACUGUUGCUGGUGGUACUAGCCGCAGCCGCUCGCCUGCUGCCGUUGGCGCAAUGCGACGGGCCCAACCCGGAGAUCCGCAACACCGGCGGGCUGAGCCGGCAGGGCUUCCCGGCGGGGUUCGUCUUCGGGACGGCCGCGUCGGCGUACCAGGUGGAGGGCAUGGCGAGGCAGGGCGGCCGCGGGCCCAGCAUCUGGGACGCCUUCGCGGCCAUACCGGGGACGAUCGCCGGCAAUGGCUCCGCCGACGUGACGGUCGACGAGUACCAUAGGUACAAGGAGGAUGUGGGCAUAAUGAAGGACAUGGGCUUCGACGCGUACCGGUUCUCGAUCUCCUGGUCCAGGAUUUUCCCAGAUGGAACUGGGAAGGUGAACCAGGAAGGAGUGGACUACUACAACAGGCUCAUAGACUACAUGCUCCAGCAAGGCAUCACCCCGUAUGCAAACCUCUACCACUAUGACCUCCCGCUGGCGCUCCACCAGCAGUACCUAGGCUGGCUAAGCCCAAAGAUUGUGGGCGCGUUUGCGGACUAUGCCGAGUUCUGCUUCAAGGUGUUUGGAGACAGGGUGAAGAACUGGUUUACCUUUAACGAGCCGAGGGUCGUCGCCGCUCUGGGGUAUGACAAUGGCUUGCAUGCGCCGGGGAGGUGUUCCAAGUGCCCUGCAGGAGGCGACUCCAGGACUGAGCCAUACAUUGUCACACACAAUAUAAUCCUUUCGCACGCCGCGGCAGUGCAGCGAUACCGCGAGAAGUAUCAGCCUCACCAGAAGGGGAGGAUUGGGAUUCUCUUGGAUUUCGUGUGGUACGAACCUCACAGCGACAGCAACGCGGAUCAAGCUGCGGCGCAGAGGGCAAGGGACUUCCACAUUGGAUGGUUCCUCGACCCCAUUACCAAUGGUCGCUAUCCAUCGUCAAUGCUCAAGAUUGUCGGUAACAGGUUGCCGGGCUUCAGUGCCGACGAGUCCAGGAUGGUGAAAGGCUCCAUUGACUAUGUUGGUAUCAACCAGUACACUUCUUACUACAUGAAGGACCCUGGGGCAUGGAACCAGACGCCGGUCAGUUACCAGGAUGAUUGGCAUGUUGGAUUUGUUUACGAACGAAACGGUGUGCCGAUUGGACCUCGUGCAAACUCUGACUGGCUUUACAUUGUGCCAUGGGGAAUGAACAAGGCUGUGACCUAUGUUAAAGAAAGAUAUGGAAAUCCUACGAUGAUCCUUUCUGAAAACGGAAUGGACCAGCCAGGAAAUGUCAGCAUCGCUGACGGUGUACAUGACACAGUAAGGAUCCGGUUCUACAGAGACUACAUAACCGAGCUCAAGAAGGCGAUAGACAAUGGAGCACGAGUGGUUGGGUACUUUGCUUGGUCUCUGCUUGACAACUUCGAGUGGAGACUCGGCUACACUGCCCGUUUCGGCAUCGUCUAUGUGGACUUCAAUACUCUGAAGAGGUACCCCAAGGACUCAGCCUUGUGGUUCAAGAACAUGCUCUCAGAGAAGAAGAGAGGCUAG